RNAcentral lists this ribosomal RNA (448 nucleotides) under uncultured bacterium. RNAcentral's name for it is "partial 16S ribosomal RNA". It matches the Rfam family "Bacterial small subunit ribosomal RNA", at positions 329 to 794 of the family's 1533-position model. The record is from RNAcentral.
GUCCAGACUCCUACGGGAGGCAGCAGUGGGGAAUAUUGCACAAUGGGGGAAACCCUGAUGCAGCGACGCCGCGUGAGCGAUGAAGUAUUUCGGUAUGUAAAGCUCUAUCAGCAGGGAAGAAAAUGACGGUACCUGACUAAGAAGCCCCGGCUAACUACGUGCCAGCAGCCGCGGUAAUACGUAGGGGGCAAGCGUUAUCCGGAUUUACUGGGUGUAAAGGGAGCGUAGACGGCAAUGCAAGCCAGAUGUGAAAGCCCGGGGCUCAACCCCGGGACUGCAUUUGGAACUGUGUAGCUGGAGUGUCGGAGAGGCAGGCGGAAUUCCUAGUGUAGCGGUGAAAUGCGUAGAUAUUAGGAGGAACACCAGUGGCGAAGGCGGCCUGCUGGACGAUGACUGACGUUGAGGCUCGAAAGCGUGGGGAGCAAACAGGAUUAGAUACCCGUGUAAU